Molecule: long non-coding RNA, 2093 nt
Organism: Salvelinus namaycush (lake trout)
Lineage: Eukaryota; Metazoa; Chordata; Actinopteri; Salmoniformes; Salmonidae
Exons: 4
Source: RefSeq, a predicted model, not a curated record
UCUGAUCGAGUGAAGCUUACAUCGAGAGGUGGUGAGCGACUGCGGCUUUUCAUCCCGAAACCUGAAGAAAAUACCAUUUAAAAAGCUUAUGACCAGUAUACUAGCAUCACAACUGUGAUUCUAAGGUUUAACCUUCAAGAAGAAUACGUCAAAUUGACCUAAAGAAGCAAGUAAUCCAGACAGGGAAGCUACCAAGUGAAUGUCCAAGAGACUGCCAGCUAGCUAACGUAGCUAGCUUGGAUCAGUAGAAUCCUCAACCACGAUCUGGUGUGAAAACAUUGCUAUUUUGUAUCGACUUAUUCUCUGUUUAGCAACAAAGUAGCCCGCCAGGGAAUACAAUCAGAAACCAAGCUUGCUGCUUGGCCAUGUUGAAACAACAGCCCAGCUCCGGUGGGCGAAAAACCUCCAACUGGACUCCGGGCCCUGUCAGUAUGUCUUCCACAGCCAGUGGGAUCAACAACAGAGCACAGGUUGGGAGCUUCCCAGGCAACAUCCGCAGCAGGAAGGCUGUCAUACAAAAUCAGAUUUCCCAAAGCAACAUAGACAGGCUCCUGGAUCUCCUCUUCAACGAGGCCACCCUUGAUCCAGCGCCAUAUGUGGGGAAGCUGUGUGAGCUGUCCAUCCCAGGACCCCUGUCUGCCCAGUGUGAGAGGCCUGACAAGUAGGAGGCCAUAGCUGGAUUUGUCUCCCACUUCAAUACCCACCUGCUUCAAGAUGUCUACUAUUAUCGACUACAGCUCGGCCUUCUAUACCACAGUGCCCGAUAAGCUCAUUAGAAAGCUCACCGCCCUGGGUCUGAAUUCCUCCCUAUGCAACUGGAUCCUGGACUUCCCGAAGGCCAGCCCCAUGGUGGUGAAGGACACCUACAACACCAGGUGUCGCAGGAAGGCCAAGAAGAUCAUCAGAGACCCCAGCCACCCAAGCCAUGCCCCUGUCUCCCUGCUUCAAUCACUCUGACACUGGCAGUACAGGAGCAUCAUGGCAAAUUAAGGCUGGCCAUUCUGCAGUCUGAUGGUAUAAACUAUUGGCCAUCACUGGUCAGCUACCACUCCACCCUCCCCGCUGAUACACACCCUAUGGACAUUCACCCUCAACGGUCACUUACUUUACCUGCUUCUCCCCUAUGGACAUUCUCUCUCCUGUUGCCCCCUAUGGCAUUUUACUCUGCACCCACCCCAAUGACAUUCAUCACUGUUGCAGUUGUGACGAUGUGUAUUACUUUAUUUUUGUAUUUUAUUUAUUUCACUUGAUCCCCACACCCCCUCAAUGGUUAUGCUGCUCCCCUAAGAUCAUUGCCCCCCCCACCCCCUCAAGUCUUUACUCUGCCUCCACCCCAAUGGACAUUUUAUUUAUUCAACACUGCCAUAGUUUUGUAUGUUGUGCGAUUUCUAUUGUUUUUAUUACCAUAUUCAUUUUAUUCCACUUAGACUUGCAUGUUGGAGCUUGACGCCUAAGAUUUUCAAUGUACCCUGCAAUCACACAUGCAACCCUGUACAUGUGUCAUCCCAUGUAAACCAUCUCUCUCUCCCACAAUGGAAAUAAGUCCCAGACUUUAUUGUGUGUUAUCCUCUGAUUUUAUUCAUGUGCAUGUAUGGCUUUUAAGUUUGUGUGCUUGUUUUUUAAAAUGGUCGAAUUAAUAAACUAAACUAAAACUAAACUCCUUGGUGAGGAUCAAAAGGACCCAUCAGCUAGGCCAAUAGCUGACAGACAGCCAAACUCUCUCUCUCUCUCUCUCUCUCUCUCUCUCUCUCCUGGGGGAGUUGACUUAACAACCGGAUCGUAAAUACCUGGCAGAAACUCUCCCUUUCGCUCUGCAGUAUUGAGAAUGGAAUGUCUGAGUACAACAGAGAGACUUUGCCAAAACUUCAAACAAUGAACAUUGGGAAAAUAUAUUUCAAUAUCCAAAUGUUGGGAAUUAUGACAGAUGGAAUAUGGAAAAUGUGUCUAUUUUGUGAUGUCAUUAAACUUAUCAGAAAUAAGUUAUAAUGGAAGCAUUGUAACUAAGAGCUUUCACAAUGUGUAUAUCAGAUUUACAUGUAAAUGUUGUACAACUUGUAUGAAUAAAUAUAGCAAUGUGAUUUUAUCCUUCUAAA